This 375-nucleotide unclassified non-coding RNA is filed under the name soil metagenome. RNAcentral describes it as "partial contains 5.8S ribosomal RNA, internal transcribed spacer 2, and large subunit ribosomal RNA". The stretch from base 1 to 120 matches the Rfam family "5.8S ribosomal RNA", at positions 35 to 154 of the family's 154-position model. The record is from RNAcentral.
GAUGAAGAACGUAGCGAAAUGCGAUAAGUAGUGUGAAUUGCAGAAUUCCGUGAAUCAUCGAAUCUUUGAACGCACAUUGCGCCCGCCAGUAUUCUGGCGGGCAUGCCUGUUCGAGCGUCAUUUCAACCCUCAAGACCCCUUCGGGGGACUUGGUGUUGGGGACCGGCACAGGGGCCUGCCUGCUUGUCUUGCAGCGCCCUCGCCGCCCCCGAAAUGAAUUGGCGGCCUCGUCGCGGCCUCCCCUGCGUAGUAGCACAACCUCGCAACGGGAACGUGACGGCGGACACUGCCGUAAAACAACCCCAAUUUUAUUAGAGUUGACCUCGAAUCAGGUAGGAAUACCCGCUGAACUUAAGCAUAUCAAUAAGCGGAGGA